This 486-nucleotide ribosomal RNA is filed under the name uncultured cyanobacterium. RNAcentral describes it as "bacterial SSU rRNA". It matches the Rfam family "Bacterial small subunit ribosomal RNA", at positions 355 to 853 of the family's 1533-position model. The record is from RNAcentral. Lineage: Bacteria; Bacillati; Cyanobacteriota.
UGGGGAAUUUUCCGCAAUGGGCGAAAGCCUGACGGAGCAAUACCGCGUGAGGGAUGACGGCCUAUGGGUUGUAAACCUCUUUUUUCAGGGAGGAAUCAAAUGACGUGUACCUGAAGAAUAAGCAUCGGCUAACUCCGUGCCAGCAGCCGCGGUAAGACGGAGGAUGCAAGUGUUAUCCGGAAUCACUGGGCGUAAAGCGUCUGUAGGUGGUCCAAUAAGUCAACUGUUAAAUCUUGAGGCUCAACCUCAAAACCGCAGUCGAAACUAUUAGACUAGAGUAUAGUAGGGGUAAAGGGAAUUUCCAGUGGAGCGGUGAAAUGCGUAGAGAUUGGAAAGAACGCCGAUGGCGAAGGCACUUUACUGGGCUAUUACUGACACUCAGAGACGAAAGCUAGGGUAGCAAAUGGGAUUAGAUACCCCAGUAGUCCUAGCCGUAAACAAUGGAUACUAGAUGUUGGACAGAUCGACCUGUGCAGUAUCAAAGCU